This 345-nucleotide unclassified non-coding RNA is filed under the name soil metagenome. Its description in RNAcentral is "partial contains 5.8S ribosomal RNA, internal transcribed spacer 2, and large subunit ribosomal RNA". The stretch from base 1 to 119 matches the Rfam family "5.8S ribosomal RNA", at positions 35 to 154 of the family's 154-position model. The record is from RNAcentral.
GAUGAAGAACGCAGCGAAAUGCGAUACGUAAUGUGAAUUGCAAAUUCAGUGAAUCAUCGAGUCUUUGAACGCACAUUGCGCCCCCUGGUAUUCCGGGGGGCAUGCCUGUCCGAGCGUCAUUGCUGCCCUCAAGCACGGCUUGUGUGUUGGGCCCCGUCCUCCGAUCCCGGGGGACGGGCCCGAAAGGCAGCGGCGGCACCGCGUCCGGUCCUCGAGCGUAUGGGGCUUUGUCACCCGCUCUGUAGGCCCGGCCGGCGCUUGCCGAUCAACCCAAAUUUUUAUCCAGGUUGACCUCGGAUCAGGUAGGGAUACCCGCUGAACUUAAGCAUAUCAAUAGGCGGAGGA